GAUGAAAACGUAGCGAAAUGCGAUAAGUAAUGUGAAUUGCAGAAUUCAGUGAAUCAUCGAGUCUUUGAACGCACAUUGCGCCCCCUGGUAUUCCGGGGGGCAUGCCUGUCCGAGCGUCAUUGCUGCCCUCAAGCACGGCUUGUGUGUUGGGCCUCCGUCCUCCUCCCGGGGGACGGGCCCGAAAGGCAGCGGCGGCACCGCGUCCGGUCCUCGAGCGUAUGGGGCUUCGUCACCCGCUCUUGUAGGCCCGGCCGGCGCUUGCCGACACAUCAAUCUUUUUUCCAGGUUGACCUCGGAUCAGGUAGGGAUACCCGCUGAACUUAAGCAUAUAAUAAGCGGAGGA
This 343-nucleotide unclassified non-coding RNA is filed under the name soil metagenome. RNAcentral's name for it is "partial contains 5.8S ribosomal RNA, internal transcribed spacer 2, and large subunit ribosomal RNA". The stretch from base 1 to 119 matches the Rfam family "5.8S ribosomal RNA", at positions 35 to 154 of the family's 154-position model. The record is from RNAcentral.